RNAcentral lists this ribosomal RNA (520 nucleotides) under uncultured bacterium. RNAcentral's name for it is "partial 16S ribosomal RNA". It matches the Rfam family "Bacterial small subunit ribosomal RNA", at positions 899 to 1397 of the family's 1533-position model. The record is from RNAcentral.
ACUCAAAGGAAUUGACGGGGACUUGCACAAGCAGUGGAUUAUGUGGUUUAAUUCGACGUCAAACGAAGAACCUCACCAGGGUUUGAAACCUAGCUGAAUAUUUUAGGAAACUUUAAUAGCCCUCACGGGCAGUUAGGCAGGUGAUGCAUGGCCGUCGUCAGUUCGUGGUUUGAAUUGUUCCCUUAAGUGGGGUAACGAACGCAACCCUCGUUGCCUGUUACAAGUGUCAGGCGAGACUGCCCACGAUUCAGUUCGUAAGCGCAAGCUUACUAGUUGAAUCGUGGGAGGAAGGCGAGGAUGACGCCAGGUCAGCAUGUCCCUCUGAUAUCCUGGGCUACACACAUAAUACAAUCGGUGCAACAACGGGUCGCGACGAGGAAACUCUGAGCCAAUCCUAAUAAAUGCACCGCCAGUUCGGAUUGAGGUCUGCAACUCGACCUCAUGAAGCCGGAAUUGCUAGUAAUCGCGGGUCAGCUAUACCGCGGUGAAUACGUUCUCAAGUCUUGUACACACCGCCCGU